UGUUAAAAUUUUUAUCUAUUUCUAUGUUAAAAACUAGCGUGAUUGUUGGAAUAACCAAACAGUUUCACAUGGUGUGCCACGUGUAUCUCAUGCUAGCAUACAAAAAUUUAGCCUUUAACCGUAGAAAUGGAUAGAUUUUUAACA
This 144-nucleotide microRNA precursor is filed under the name Gossypium arboreum. Its description in RNAcentral is "MIR7502 microRNA precursor family". It matches the Rfam family "MIR7502 microRNA precursor family". The record is from Rfam by way of RNAcentral. Lineage: Eukaryota; Viridiplantae; Streptophyta; Magnoliopsida; Malvales; Malvaceae.